GACGUAGGGGACGAGCGUUGUCCGGAUUCAUUGGGCGUAAAGAGCUCGUAGGCGGUUCAGUAAGUCGGGUGUGAAACCUCCAGGCUCAACCUGGAGACGCCACCCGAUACUGCUGUGACUAGAGUCCAGUAGGGGAGCGUGGAAUUCCUGGUGUAGCGGUGAAAUGCGCAGAUAUCAGGAGGAACACCAGCGGCGAAGGCGGCGCUCUGGGCUGGAACUGACGCUGAGGAGCGAAAGCGUGGGGAGCGAACAGG
RNAcentral lists this ribosomal RNA (254 nucleotides) under uncultured bacterium. RNAcentral's name for it is "partial 16S ribosomal RNA". It matches the Rfam family "Bacterial small subunit ribosomal RNA", at positions 524 to 776 of the family's 1533-position model. The record is from RNAcentral.